This 85-nucleotide non-coding RNA is filed under the name unclassified sequences. Its description in RNAcentral is "c-di-GMP sequence". It matches the Rfam family "c-di-GMP-II-GAG riboswitch aptamer". The record is from Rfam by way of RNAcentral.
CGGUUGGCGGGAGGCUCUGACACGCGGCCCAAGCCCUGGCCGCCGGGACCGCGCCGAGCCACUGGCGAGACCGACCCGCUUGCCG